AUGAACGCUGGCGGCGUGCCUAAUCCAUGCAAGUCGAGCGAACGGACGAGAAGCUUGCUUCUCUGAUGUUAGCGGCGGACGGGUGAGUAACACGUGGAUAACCUACCUAUAAGACUGGGAUAACUUCGGGAAACCGGAGCUAAUACCGGAUAAUAUUUUGAACCGCAUGGUUCAAAAGUGAAAGACGGUCUUGCUGUCACUUAUAGAUGGAUCCGCGCUGCAUUAGCUAGUUGGUAAGGUAACGGCUUACCAAGGCAACGAUGCAUAGCCGACCUGAGAGGGUGAUCGGACACACUGGAACUGAGACACGGUCCAGACUCCUACGGGAGGCAGCAGUAGGGAAUCUUCCGCAAUGGGCGAAAGCCUGACGGAGCAACGCCGCGUGAGUGAUGAAGGUCUUCGGAUCGUAAAACUCUGUUAUUAGGGAAGAACAUAUGUGUAAGUAACUGUGCACAUCUUGACGGUACCUAAUCAGAAAGCCACGGCUAACUACGUG
Molecule: ribosomal RNA, 496 nt
Filed under: uncultured bacterium
Lineage: Bacteria
Description: partial 16S ribosomal RNA
Rfam family: Bacterial small subunit ribosomal RNA
Source: RNAcentral